RNA transcript from Musa acuminata AAA Group (dessert banana), 580 nucleotides. RefSeq lists it as uncharacterized. The record is from RefSeq and is a predicted model, not a curated record. The transcript has 2 exons. Lineage: Eukaryota; Viridiplantae; Streptophyta; Magnoliopsida; Zingiberales; Musaceae.
CGCUCGUCCAUGUCCAUUGAGCGUAGAUUGAGGAGAUGGUCUUCCAAAGAUAGCUGUUCUUUGCCUAUAAGUAGAAGCUGUGAUCGAUCGCCAUGUUCAAUAAAGAGCUACAGAUCAAAGAAGGAGAAAAGAAGAGGAGAAAGGAAUGUCAGGGAUUAUCCAUAAGAUCGAGGAGAAGCUCCACAUUGGAGGAGACCACAAGGAGGAGGAACACAAGAAGGACGACAAGCAUCAUCAUAAUGAGCACCGCAAGGAGGAGAAGCACCACAAGGAAGGGGAGGGAGGAAUGAUGAAUAAGAUCAAGGAGAAGAUCCAUGGCGGAGAGGAGCAUGGGGAGAAGAAGGAGAAGAAGAAGAAGAAGGAGAGGAAGCAUGGUGCGGAGCAUGAUGGCCACAGCAGCAGCAGCAGCAGCGACAGCGACUGAGCCAAAUCUUGACGUGGUCUUACAUGGAGAAAUGCUAAGAUGAAAGUGGAUCUAGGAAUGGAGACUUGUGCUACCUUGCUUUUGUGCUUGAUCUUUAUUGUAGUAAUAAUAAAUGUAAUAAUCAUGAAAUAAAUAACUUUAAGUGCUUACUUUUGA